AUGGAAAUGAGGGUCAAAACCUUAAUGCUGCUGUGGAGAUGUUGGUUCCUACGUGAUGACUGCAUCCAUAGUACAGGGAAGGAGUUAAUCAGCAGAUCAGUACAUUUUUUGGAGCAAUAUGAGGAGGAACUGAACAUCUGCUACAUGGUGCAUUCGUCAGGUCCAAAGGACAAACAUGCCUUGGGGAUUACUGAGGUUGCUUUGGCUGGGAAAGAUCGGUCUGAAGUUGAAGCUAGUGCGGCAAUGCAGCAGGAAAUUGGUUUGGAUCCUGCUUCAGGUGCAGCAAUUCAGUGGAUUCCCCCUAGCGGCGAUACUGUCAAACUGAAUACCGAUGCUUCCUUCUUAGCUGAUAGCGGAGUGUCCCAUGUGGGUGCUGUUGCUCGCGAUCACAGAGGACUUGUUUUCUUCUCGCUGUCCAAAGGAAUCGAUCGCUGCUCUUCAGUGGAGGAAGUUGAGGCUCGGGCUCUGCUCUGUGGUCUGCAGACCUUGGCGGCGCUAUACAGGGGGCCUAUUAUUGCUGAGACUGAUCGGGUUGAAGUUAAGAGUAUGGUAUUGUACUACUGUAUUUUGUAA
RNAcentral lists this ribosomal RNA (573 nucleotides) under Triticum aestivum (bread wheat). RNAcentral describes it as "partial small subunit ribosomal RNA". The record is from RNAcentral. Lineage: Eukaryota; Viridiplantae; Streptophyta; Magnoliopsida; Poales; Poaceae.